Molecule: ribosomal RNA, 423 nt
Filed under: uncultured bacterium
Lineage: Bacteria
Description: bacterial SSU rRNA
Rfam family: Bacterial small subunit ribosomal RNA
Source: RNAcentral
AAGACCUUGCGCUUUUGGAGCGGCCGAUGUCUGAUUAACUAGUUGGUGGGGUAAUGGCCUACCAAAGCUUCGAUCAGUAGCUGGUCUGAGAGGACGGCCAGCCACACUGGGACUGAGACACGGCCCAGACUCCUACGGGAGGCAGCAGUGGGGAAUUUUGGACAAUGGGCGCAAGCCUGAUCCAGCCAUGCCGCGUGAGUGAAGAAGGCCUUCGGGUUGUAAAGCUCUUUCAGCCGGGAAGAAAAGGUUGCGAUUAAUAAUCGCAAUUGAUGACGGUACCGGAAGAAGAAGCACCGGCUAACUACGUGCCAGCAGCCGCGGUAAUACGUAGGGUGCGAGCGUUAAUCGGAAUUACUGGGCGUAAAGGGUGCGCAGGCGGUUUUGUAAGUCAGAUGUGAAAUCCCCGGGCUUAACCUGGGAACU